GAGUUUGAUCCUGGCUCAGAACGAACGCUGGCGGCGUGCCUAACACAUGCAAGUCGAACGUGAUCCAGAGCUUGCUCUGGUGAAAGUGGCGCACGGGUGAGUAACGCGUGGAUAACCUACCCUGGUAUCCGGGAUAACAUUCCGAAAGGGGUGCUAAUACCGGAUAAGCCCACGGGCUCUUUGGAGCUUGCGGGAAAAGGUGGCCUCUAUUUAUAAGCUACUGUAUCAGGAUGGGUCCGCGUACCAUUAGCUAGUUGGCGGUGUAACGGACCACCAAGGCGACGAUGGUUAGCUGGUCUGAGAGGAUGAUCAGCCACACUGGAACUGAGACACGGUCCAGACUCCUACGGGAGGCAGCAGUGGGGAAUUUUGCGCAAUGGGGGAAACCCUGASGCAGCAACGCCGCGUGAGUGAUGAAGGCCUUUGGGUCGUAAAGCUCUGUCAGAGGGGAAGAAAUGAUAUAGUGCUAAUACCACUUUAUCUUGACGGUACCCUCAAAGGAAGCACCGGCUAACUCCGUGCCAGCAGCCGCGGUAAUAC
RNAcentral lists this ribosomal RNA (540 nucleotides) under uncultured Geobacteraceae bacterium. Its description in RNAcentral is "bacterial SSU rRNA". It matches the Rfam family "Bacterial small subunit ribosomal RNA", at positions 9 to 526 of the family's 1533-position model. Lineage: Bacteria; Pseudomonadati; Thermodesulfobacteriota; Desulfuromonadia; Geobacterales; Geobacteraceae. The record is from RNAcentral.